AUCUAGCUGAAGAGUGCCGAAUGGGACGAAACGCGCGUCCUGGAU
This is a non-coding RNA of Schistosoma rodhaini, 45 nucleotides long. Lineage: Eukaryota; Metazoa; Platyhelminthes; Trematoda; Strigeidida; Schistosomatidae. The record is from Rfam.